CUGUCACCCCCUCACUCUAGUGACAGAGUGAGGGAGGGUGUGACUAGUAACAGAGAGAGGGGUGACUAGGGACAGAGUGAGGGAGGUGGUGACUAGUGACUAGUGACAGUCACCACCUCCCUCACUCUGUCACUAGUCACCACCUCCCUCACUCUGUCACCAGUCAUCCCCUCACUCUGCCACUAGUCACCCCUUCCCUCACUGUCACCUGUCACCCCCUCACUCUAGUGACAAAGUGAGGGAGGGUGUGACUAG
Pelobates cultripes (western spadefoot toad) is the source of this 255-nucleotide non-coding RNA. NCBI's taxonomy places the organism in Eukaryota, Metazoa, Chordata, Amphibia, Anura, Pelobatidae. The record is from the annotation of a GenBank genome assembly.